Molecule: long non-coding RNA, 662 nt
Filed under: Marmota monax (woodchuck)
Lineage: Eukaryota; Metazoa; Chordata; Mammalia; Rodentia; Sciuridae
Source: RNAcentral
UGGCCAUGGUUGGUAACCAGCUUGAAGCCAGGACGCCGGUGCCUUCAGCGUUGUCCUCUCUCCAGCUUCGGCCCUCGGGGCCUCGUGUGGUGCCCAGGCAAGUUUAGGGCUGUUUGUUGUACUCCUGUGAAAAACGCCACUGGGAUUUUAGUGGCGAUGGCCUUGAGUCUGUAGGUUGCUUUGGGUCGUGUGGACAUUUUAACAGUUGUAAUUCUUCCCAUCCAUGAACAUCGUGGCCUUCUAGGUAUGUAAUAGCUUUCCACUGAUCUGUUUCUGCUUAAGUUUCCUUAAUUGGUAUUUUACACAAGUCUUUCAGCCUCCCCCCCGGUUGAGUUUAUACCUAAGAAUUUUGUUCAUGUUCUUCAAUAGUUUUUAGAUCGCUUGUUGAUAGCCUGCCACUGUACAGCACGUGCUCAGUAGGUCUGACAAGUGCUGUGCAUCCUCCUCCCCCGUCCCCAAGGGACUCUGCUCGACCUCCGGGCGAGACAGUGGUCCUCCUGGGCAGCGUCCACGUCUGGGAAGACCGUGCUCCUUAGCCCUCACUUCCCCUUUAAUGGCAGGCUGAGGGCUGAGGGUGCAGAGCUGCAGGGUGCCUCCUCGUGGGUUUUCUCCCCUGGGUGCUGGAACCCCUCAGCUGAAUGCCAGGCUCCCAGAGAUCCUUG